RNAcentral lists this ribosomal RNA (441 nucleotides) under uncultured bacterium. RNAcentral's name for it is "partial 16S ribosomal RNA". It matches the Rfam family "Bacterial small subunit ribosomal RNA", at positions 338 to 795 of the family's 1533-position model. The record is from RNAcentral.
CCUACGGGAGGCAGCAGUGGGGGAUAUUGCACAAUGGGGGGAACCCUGAUGCAGCGACGCCGCGUGGGUGAAGGAGCGUUUCGGCGCGUAAAGCCCUAUCGGCAGGGAAGAAGGAGGACGGUACCUGACUAAGAAGCCCCGGCUAACUACGUGCCAGCAGCCGCGGUAAUACGUAGGGGGCAAGCGUUAUCCGGAUUUACUGGGUGUAAAGGGGGCGCAGACGGCAGCGCAAGCCAGGAGUGAAAGCCCGGGGCCCAACCCCGGGACUGCUCUUGGAACUGCGCGGCUGGAGUGCAGGAGGGGCAGGCGGAAUUCCUGGUGUAGCGGUGAAAUGCGUAGAUAUCAGGAGGAACACCGGUGGCGAAGGCGGCCUGCUGGACUGCGACUGACGUUGAGGCCCGAAAGCGUGGGGAGCGAACAGGAUUAGAUACCCCUGUAGUC